Long non-coding RNA from Gopherus evgoodei (Goodes thornscrub tortoise), 3619 nucleotides. RefSeq lists it as uncharacterized. The transcript is spliced from 2 exons. Lineage: Eukaryota; Metazoa; Chordata; Testudines; Testudinidae. The record is from RefSeq and is a predicted model, not a curated record.
AGCUGAAUUGGGGACAAUGAGAACUGCUCUGUUGAGUAAGAAGGUGCCAUUUUUACAUAGUCACUUUGCUGACCAUAUCCACACUUUCAUAGUACAGGCUAUUACAGUUGUUAAGUUGAAACGCCAAACAUGAGCACAAAUAUGAGGCCUAGUCUUAUGACCUCUUCCUAUGUGAAUAGUUUCACUAAAGUCAGUAUAACUAUUAAUGGAAAUAACAGCUGCAAAAGCAAGUUCUUAGAAUCUUGCAGAGACUGAUUCUCUUCUCGUACUAGUUCGCUGGUGUAACUCCACUGACUUCAGUGAAAUCACGCCUUUUUUUUACACUGGAGUGAGAUGAUAAUCAGGCAGUGAGGAAUGUGUGGAGAAAACUGGAUCUGAUGUCUAGAAAAUUGGACUCCAGAUAUGUUGGGACUUGACAGAGGAUAGCUGUGUCAUGGUAGAAUGUGUUUUGUAGUUCCCAAGGAAAAAUGUGGGACAACAAGAUAACUGAACUAUGGUUAUCUUUAAAAUGUUGGAUUUGUGUAAUGAGGAACAGAUCUUGACAAUAGCAAGGCAAAAAAAGACACAACUAAGAGAAAAAAUGUGACUCUUGUCAACUUGAGACCUGCUGUGGAGGGUAAAGAUAAAGCUAGUUCCCUCAGUGAGGAAACAGAAGAUGCCAGUUCGUGCCCUGCAAAGCUCAAGGCAAAAUUUAACUCUAAGUAUUUUUUGGCAAGUGUUUCAUGGGAAAAUUUCUCCAGAAAUGUGGACAAGGAUUCUAAUGGAGGAAAGAGAAGUCUUUUCUUUAGUUAGUCUGUUCUUUAAAAUCAUAUUGUUUGUUUGGAUUACCAUAAUCUUGAUUUCUGAAAAUAGUGAAAAGAUACAAUUGUCAGCUUGACUUAAAAUAUGCGGUCACCAACUGCUGAACUGGGUGCAAACUGUGAUCUAUUACAAAUAUGGGACUAACACUAAUGGUACCUCAACUUCUUACGUUCCCGUAUGUACAUGUUUCAGCAGUUCUACAUGUCUAGAACACCGGGAGGACACAGAGGACAUUAGAAAAUGCUGCUGAUGUUAUUCCUCAGAAGAGUGGACAACCAGAAGUUUGAAAUAAUAACCCAAUAGAGUUAAUGACUAUGCCUGGUAUAUUAUAGUAAUGGAUUGUCAAUACUUUUAGUUUCGAUAUCCCAAAUUAAUUAAUAUAUUUCUACAAUAUACUUUUUUCCUUAAUUUGUUAUAAGAAGGGUAGAAAAGUACUUUGUAUGACUUUGUAAUGCUGUCUGAAUUCCUGAAAAAACAGUAAAUACAAUUAACUAUAUAGUUUCUCAUAUCUAAUGUGUCUAAGAGGACACUUAAAAGUGUGAUGUGUAAAUUAAUACAACUGGACAGCAGCUUAGUCGGAGAAAGAUUAUCUAUCUACUUGUCUGGGAAUUGAUUCAGCAUCUCUUUUCCUGGGUCAUGGGUGGAUUAAGUCAAUCCAAGAUGGAAUGACACUAACAGGUUAAAUUCUUAUGCUAAAAUUAUAGAGUUACAUUCUUUUUUUUCUCUCUCUCAAAAUAGAACCACACACUAAAUUCAUUUCUGUAACUUACUGUACAUCCAAGAUUUCUGUUCUCCUUUCCAGAGCACUUUAAAAGAGUUCAAACAUUAUUAUGAUUUGCUUACAGUAGAGGAAAUAUUUGUAACAGAUAUGCAGAAAUAAUUAUAAAAAACCUGAAAGAUGUUUGUCUGAAGUAAACUAAUCUUCUUAUCAACAUAAUGGUAAUUUAGACCAUCUGUGAAGGUUAGAUUUUUCAGUCAUCAGACUGAAAUCAUAUAGAUAGUAGAGCUGGUCAGAACAUUGUCAAAACAGUAUUUUGUUGGAAAGUGCUGUUUUGACAAAACCAAAACUUUUCACAAAAUUACAUCAAUUUUGAUGCAAGUUUAAUGUCCAAUCCCAUUUGACAGCUUUGGAAAACAUGUUUUGAUUUUUCUAUCCAUAACAACUUUUUAUUUAAAAAUUUACUUCUGUCCCACAAAAAAUUUCAAGAUUUUACAAACAAAUCCCAAAUCAGGUUGAAAAGCCCAAAAGUUCAAAAUAUUUCACAAAACAAAAUUCUGAAACAAAUUUUGUUUUGGGUCGAUUGAAACGUGUGCUUUGGUUUCACUUUUUUUCUGUUAAAAAUAUGGAUAUGAUUUUUCAAAAAUGGUUGCACCACAGAUAUUUCUGUAUGUGAUAUUUUUAAAGAGCUUUUUCAUAUGAUAUGAGGGAUGUUGUCUUAAUCAUCUUUGUGGUAAAAACUAGCUCUCCAGGAAACUUGCCAGGCAUUCUUCUAGAAUAAAAAAGCUAUCACUGUGUGUAUUUUUUUAAACAAAAUUCAUUUAGUGUACCACAUCACAGGUACAAAAGGGCAACAAUUGUUCAAGCUCCCCUAUAACCCACACUGUUUCAAAAAUGAAUCUCCAACAGGAGUUUGGAUCUAUUUCUUUGAAAUGGUUGAAAAGAGGAGUGUUAUGUGGCACUCACAAAUUAUGUGCUGGGUAUCUCAUUUAUGUAAUUUUAUAAAUGCAGGAAUAGAAUUGCAAUGUUAUUUAGGGUGCAGCAUUAUCUGUUGUUACAUAGAAAAAGUCUUUUAAAAAUUAUCUUUUUAGGCUCAUGCCUAAUUUAGUGAUCUAAUGACAUCUUUUCAUGAAAAUACCCUAGAAUUGUAUUACUGUUCUUAAAAACUCCUACAUAAACUUUGUGUUUCCUGUUUUGUUGAUAACUAUCUUCAAAGGCAUCUCAAACUACAGAAUCUUCACUUUAAAAGUUGAUCUGCUUGAAGGGACUAACAAUUCAAAUUCUAGAAUGGAAUAGCUAGAUCUUUCUUUCCACUUCCCUUUUAAAUCUGUAAGUGAUACAGUAUUGAGUAUGUUUUUAUCAUGUGCAGAAGUAGGCAUAUAUAAUCCUUCUAAAGGUUUUUAUGUUGCAUAAUACAAAGGCAGUCCUACGUUGCUUGUAUGGAUUUUUUUGACAAAAAGGUUGAGUCUUCUCCAUUCAGUUCUCAAUACAGCUCAAGAUUCCCUUACAGCAAUCAAUAAGAUUGAGGGUAUUUCAAAUCGAAUAAAACAUGAUACUUAGAAUAUAUACUUAGAUUAGGAGAUUAUUGCUGCAGGGAAUGUAGCUUUUCUCUUUGCUGUAAUUAAAAGUAGUUACAAUGUCUCAUAUUUUAGCAUCCUUCAUUUCACAAAUUUUCAAAUCAGGGUGCCAUCCCAUCAGUUAUGAAGUGUGAGUCAAAAUGAAUAAGGAUGGGGUCAUGCCAAAAUGUGUGAGUUUGUUCAUUGUGUGCAAAUGUCUGAAAGAUGAAAAGAUUAAUUAAGAAAUGACAUAAAUCCUGUAAAAAGACUGAACCAGCAUCUGGUUAUUUCCUUCAUAAAAUUGCUACUAUAAGAAGAUGGAUUCUACUAUGGAACUCAACUGGCUGUACUCCACUGCCUCUCUAUUGACAUUAAUGAGAGCUGAAUCAGCUGCCCUUAAUGGAACUGAAAAUAUGCAAUGGAGAUAUUUACUAGGAGAAAUCUUUUCUCAACUAAUUCCUGGGCUUGACAGGGAUGAUGCAAUCCAACUCGUUCUUUUCUCCAUUUUAAUGUGUAUGAAAUAAACAAUUUUUUUUCUCUCCUA